GCAGGUGGUGUAGUGGGUAGCACUCCUGGCCUGCAGCGCAGAAGCUGUUCAGGUGUAGGUUCGAAUCCGACUCAUUCUGCG
Molecule: transfer RNA, 81 nt
Filed under: Scleropages formosus (Asian bonytongue)
Lineage: Eukaryota; Metazoa; Chordata; Actinopteri; Osteoglossiformes; Osteoglossidae
Description: tRNA-Cys
Source: RNAcentral